RNAcentral lists this microRNA precursor (107 nucleotides) under Marmota monax (woodchuck). Lineage: Eukaryota; Metazoa; Chordata; Mammalia; Rodentia; Sciuridae. The record is from RNAcentral.
AAUAGAAUUGCCUGGUCAAGUGGUAGGUAGUUCUAUGUUCAGUUUUUUGAGGAUCUGACAAAUUCCUUUCCAAAGUAGCUAUACCAGUUUAGAUUCCUACCAGCAAU